UACCGGCAGCCCGAGUGAUGGCCGCUAUUAUUGGGCCUAAAGCGUCCGUAGCUGGCCAGACAGGUCCGUCGGGAAAUCCAUCCGCUUAACGGAUGGGCGUCCGGCGGAAACCAGCUGGCUUGGGGCCGGAAGAUCUGAGGGGUACGUCCGGGGUAGGAGUGAAAUCCCGUAAUCCUGGACGGACCGCCGGUGGCGAAAGCGCCUCAGAAGGACGGACCCGACGGUGAGGGACGAAAGCUAGGGUCACGAACCGG
This 254-nucleotide ribosomal RNA is filed under the name uncultured bacterium. RNAcentral's name for it is "partial 16S ribosomal RNA". It matches the Rfam family "Archaeal small subunit ribosomal RNA", at positions 474 to 727 of the family's 1478-position model. The record is from RNAcentral.